GUGAGUGAAUUUUCUGAAUCCAAGGAAAUAACUCUGCAUAAACUCAUCAGACCGGAACAAAAUUCAAACAUGAUCACUUAAUACUUGUCAAGGUGAAACCACAAGCGUGACGAAAAAAGUGUGGAAAUUUAUAACUUCAGUGAGCCCUAGGAACACCAAUCUGUACAUAAUAGUCAAACCAGAACAAAUUGCAAACAUGAACCCUAACAGAUCAUGAUAAUACAUGCCACACAUCAAAUCAAUAUCUUCAAGCACAAAGAACAAAAGUGUGGAAAAGUGAUUAUUCGGGCAGACGGAUGAACAGAUUAACAGUCCG
RNAcentral lists this long non-coding RNA (316 nucleotides) under Mytilus galloprovincialis (Mediterranean mussel). Lineage: Eukaryota; Metazoa; Mollusca; Bivalvia; Mytilida; Mytilidae. The record is from RNAcentral.